GACGAACGCUGGCGGCGUGCCUAAUACAUGCAAGUAGAACGCUGAAGGAGGAGCUUGCUUCUCUGGAUGAGUUGCGAACGGGUGAGUAACGCGUAGGUAACCUGCCUGGUAGCGGGGGAUAACUAUUGGAAACGAUAGCUAAUACCGCAUAACAGUAGAUAUCGCAUGAUAUCUACUUGAAAGGUGCAAUUGCAUCACUACCAGAUGGACCUGCGUUGUAUUAGCUAGUUGGUGAGGUAACGGCUCACCAAGGCGACGAUACAUAGCCGACCUGAGAGGGUGAUCGGCCACACUGGGACUGAGACACGGCCCAGACUCCUACGGGAGGCAGCAGUAGGGAAUCUUCGACAAUGGACGGAAGUCUGACCGAGCAACGCCGCGUGAGUGAAGAAGGGUUUCGGAUCGUAAAGCUCUGUUGUAAGAGAAGAACGAGUGUGAGAGUGGAAAGUUCACACUGUGACGGUAUCUUACCAGAAAGGGACGGCUAACUACGUG
Molecule: ribosomal RNA, 495 nt
Filed under: uncultured bacterium
Lineage: Bacteria
Description: partial 16S ribosomal RNA
Rfam family: Bacterial small subunit ribosomal RNA
Source: RNAcentral